CUUGGAACGGUAAUAUAGACGUCAUCAAAUUUCUGCUCAGUGUUACAGGUGAGGUGAAUCGAAACGCAGAAGAUCAACACGCAUUGCUCCUUAAGGGUGACCCUGUAGAGGUGAAUAAAGCAGACAAUGAAGGGAGAACAGCAUUACACAUCGCCGUUCAGCAUGGUUACAUUGACGUUGUUAAAUUCCUGCUUACAAGUGGAGCACGAAGUGACACAGAAGACAAUCGCGGCCAAACACCCUUACAUCAAUCGUUAACCGUUGGGCGCAGAGACAUUGCUGCUCUGCUUAUCGACCAGUUGAAUGCUAAGAAUGAUUCAGCAGCCAUCCAUCUUGCUGUAAUACACGGACAUACAUCCAUCAUUGAAAAGCUCAUUGCUAAAGGAUCUGAUAUCAAUGCACAGUCUAAUGACGGUCAGACAUGUCUUCAUAAAGCUAUCAAAUUAUGCUACCAAAAGAAAAGGAAUGUUGAAGACACCGAAACACUCAGAAAGGUAUCCGAAGAAUACUAC
This is a long non-coding RNA of Lytechinus variegatus (green sea urchin), 512 nucleotides long. RefSeq lists it as uncharacterized. The transcript is spliced from 3 exons. The record is from RefSeq and is a predicted model, not a curated record. Lineage: Eukaryota; Metazoa; Echinodermata; Echinoidea; Temnopleuroida; Toxopneustidae.